RNAcentral lists this ribosomal RNA (419 nucleotides) under bacterium. Its description in RNAcentral is "partial 16S ribosomal RNA". It matches the Rfam family "Bacterial small subunit ribosomal RNA", at positions 355 to 776 of the family's 1533-position model. The record is from RNAcentral.
UGGGGGAUAUUGCACAAUGGGCGAAAGCCUGAUGCAGCGACGCCGCGUGGGGGAUGAAGGCCUUCGGGUUGUAAACUUCUUUUGCUCUGAACAAGGCGCACCAUGGGGUGUGUUGAGUGUAGGGGUUGAUUAGCGCCGGCUAACUACGUGCCAGCAGCCGCGGUAAUACGAAGGGCGCGAGCGUUGUCCGGAAUUAUUGGGCGUAAAGGGCUGGUAGGUGGCUGGUUGCGUCUGUCGUGAAAGCUCAUGGCUUAACUGUGGGUUUGCGGUGGGUACGGGCUGGCUUGAGUGCAGUAGGGGAGGCUGGAAUUCCUGGUGUAGCGGUGGAAUGCGCAGAUAUCAGGAGGAAUACCGGUGGCGAAGGCGGGUCUCUGGGCUGUUACUGACACUGAGGAGCGAAAGCAUGGGGAGCGAACAGG